AAAAUUAGAGUGUUCAAAGCAGGCAGAUCCAAUUUUCUGCCACCGAAUACAUUAGCAUGGGAUAAUGGAAUAGGACCCUGUCCUCCUAUUUUCAGUUGGUUUUGGCAGCGCGAGGACUAGGGUAAUGAUUAAUAGGGAUAGUUGGGGGCAUUAAUAUUUAAUUGUCAGAGGUGAAAUUCUUGGAUUUAUGAAAGAUUAACUUCUGCGAAAGCAUCUGCCAAGGAUGUUUUCAUUAAUCAAGAACGAAAGUUAGGGGAUCGAAGACGAUCAGAUACCGUCGUAGUCUUAACCAUAAACGAUGCCGACCAGCGAUUAGGAGACGUUGAAUACAAAACACCACCAUCGGUGCGGUCGUCCUUGGCGUCGGUCUUUCGGGGCCGGCGCGGGGACGGCUUAGCCCGGUGGCACCGGUGAA
This 415-nucleotide ribosomal RNA is filed under the name Acanthamoeba castellanii. RNAcentral's name for it is "SSU rRNA". It matches the Rfam family "Eukaryotic small subunit ribosomal RNA", at positions 762 to 1116 of the family's 1831-position model. Lineage: Eukaryota; Discosea; Longamoebia; Acanthamoebidae. RNAcentral also lists the same sequence under 5 other names. The record is from RNAcentral.